Long non-coding RNA from Mobula hypostoma (lesser devil ray), 714 nucleotides. RefSeq lists it as uncharacterized. The record is from RefSeq and is a predicted model, not a curated record. The transcript is spliced from 2 exons. NCBI's taxonomy places the organism in Eukaryota, Metazoa, Chordata, Chondrichthyes, Myliobatiformes, Myliobatidae.
GUUGGCAUUCCUGGGGGUCCAGACAAGGUUCACGCGAAUUAUCCCGGGAAUGAAAGGGUUAACGUGUGAGGAUCAUUUGAUGCCUCUGGGCCCGUAUUCGCUGGGUGUUUCAAUGGAUGGUGGGGGGAGAGAAUCCGAUUGAAACCUAUGGGAAAAGAUGGACGGAAUGGCCGAAAUCUGCUCCCCUGUCUGAUGGUCAGACACUUUGCCUUGGCCCGCCCCCUCCCCGCCCGUCGUGACUCAGCCGCCAAUCUGCUCCGUCCGGAGCAGCUUUCCCACGGGCACGGACCGGCCCCACGCCUGGCUCGGCUGCUCAGAAAUACCAGCAAACGGGGCGGGAGGGGAACCACACACCUCGCCGUCGCAGCCGACCGAAUACUCUCGGAGCGAUGAAAGCGCUGGCCCUCCUCCUCGGCCUCCUGCUCUUCAGCGGGGGCAUCCAUUCGUCGGAUUCCACCUCCCUGGAGUGCGAUGAAGUGGCGGGAUUUUGCCACACGUCGCCCUGUCCUGGCGGGUACUUAGAGGAACGUCAAUUCUGCGACAACGAGCUCAGCUGCUGUUACUUGUGACAUCGGAGCAGAGCGCGGAAGUGUCUUCGCCCCGAAAGACCGAGAUCGGCUUCGCCGGGGAAGGAGCCAUUUACCCCGAGGCCCGCACCAGAGGCACCCCGACAGCUCACGCGCAGAAAUAAACCUCCCGUGGACCAUAAAUCGC